This 468-nucleotide ribosomal RNA is filed under the name uncultured bacterium. RNAcentral's name for it is "partial 16S ribosomal RNA". It matches the Rfam family "Bacterial small subunit ribosomal RNA", at positions 28 to 507 of the family's 1533-position model. The record is from RNAcentral.
GAUGAACGCUGGCGGCGUGCUUAACACAUGCAAGUCGAACGGUGAAGGCGGAGCUUGCUCUGCUGGAUCAGUGGCGAACGGGUGAGUAACACGUGAGCAAUCUGCCCCUGACUCUGGGAUAAGCGCUGGAAACGGCGUCUAAUACUGGAUACGAGCUGCGAAGGCAUCUUCAGCAGCUGGAAAGAAUUUCGGUCAGGGAUGAGCUCGCGGCCUAUCAGCUUGUUGGUGAGGUAAUGGCUCACCAAGGCGUCGACGGGUAGCCGGCCUGAGAGGGUGACCGGCCACAAUGGGACUGAGACACGGCCCAGACUGCUACGGGAGGCAGCAGUGGGGAAUAUUGCACAAUGGGCGAAAGCCUGAUGCAGCAACGCCGCGUGAGGGACGACGGCCUUCGGGUUGUAAACCUCUUUUAGCAGGGAAGAAGCGAAAGUGACGGUACCUGCAGAAAAAGCGCCGGCUAACUACGUG